GGCAAACUGAAGAAGUGUUGGAGAGAUGAGGGGUUAAGAGUUCAUUCGGCUGUCCAGAUGUAUCCAAGUACCCUGUUAUUUGGCAAUAAAUACAUCUGGGCAACUGAUUGAACUUUUCGCUUCUCUUGACUCAACUGGA
This is a non-coding RNA of Rattus norvegicus (Norway rat), 139 nucleotides long. RefSeq annotates it as microRNA 1298. The transcript has a single exon. NCBI's taxonomy places the organism in Eukaryota, Metazoa, Chordata, Mammalia, Rodentia, Muridae. The record is from RefSeq and is marked provisional.